GUCAUAAAAUAAACAUGUUUUAGCUAACACAAGUAAAAUACAUGUAUUUAGCAUAAAUUGUAUAAAAUACCAAACGAAAUAAAUAAUUGAUAAUUAUUUACUGCCUUACAAAAAAGGUUUGCAAAUAAAAUAAUAAUAGGUACCUAGUUAUGAUGUCUAUAAUAUAAUGUCUAAGUGUCGAACUACAAAUAAUUUGGUGAAAUUCGGUACACUAUUUUAGAUAGGUACCUAAUACUGUUCAUUAACAUCUCAACUGACCUGCCCAUUUUCCGUACUUGACGCUCAGCGGAGUCCGGUCGGGCAUCACCAGUGGCAAUAGAUGUGCCGCGCAUCCCUUUGCCAUCUCGAGUAGUACGUCGCAUAUCAGGAACAACACGGCCAAGAACCCGAUGACGGCGAACCCGAGUACGAUGGGUCCGGUCAACGAGUCUUCCGAGUCAAACACCUGUGUGAAUAUGAUGGACGCCGUUUUGACGUUUUUUUCGGACGGGGUUUAGGAAAAAAAAAGCCAAACAACGUUCUCGGAAAUGGCCUACGAGCGAGAAGAAAUUGAGCGUGUCGUGAAGGAAAUCGCGUUUGGCCAAAC
Long non-coding RNA from Aphis gossypii (cotton aphid), 586 nucleotides. RefSeq lists it as uncharacterized. The transcript has 2 exons. Lineage: Eukaryota; Metazoa; Arthropoda; Insecta; Hemiptera; Aphididae. The record is from RefSeq and is a predicted model, not a curated record.